GAGAGCACCGCCCACAGGCUGAAGAUCCUGCCCCUUCAGGACGGCCGAGAACGCGCCUGCCUUGCACCACCCCCACCCCGCCCCGCGUCCUUCAGGAGAGCCGGAAACGCUCCUACCCCUACUUCGCUUCUGCACGGCCGCGAGAACGCACCUGUCCAGCCCCCUGUUCGCUCCGCCCACUCAGCGCGCGCGGGAGCGCGCGCGGGAGCAGCUCCAACUUUUUCAAUUUGCCGCCAUCUUUACGGCGGCCGACUUCCCAGCCUGCCUCGCGUCCAGGGAGGCGGAGCUCAGGUCUCUGAAAAGGGGACGGGGGGCGGGGGACGGGGGACGGGGGCCGGCGGGAGGGGACGCGGCCGGCAGAUGGCGAAGGAGGGGCGCGAGGAGGCGGCCACUGUUGAGGGGCGGGGCGUCCCGCCGAGAGUCUGGAUGAGGUCCGGGGAAUGAGGUGAUUCGCCCAAAAGCACACUACAAAUUGGAGUCACCAGCAGGUCUGCUAUUUUGCCACUAAACCAAUCUGCCGGUCACACCUUGGCUGUAAAGUGUCCUAACAGCCACCUACUUAUGAUUACUGCUUUCUUACCAAUAACCUCCCCAGCCUGUUGUGUGGCUCCUACAUCUUGAACAAAAGCGACCAAGGCAUACAUCUGUAGGAGACCAGAAUAUGCCACCCCAAAAUAUGCCUCCUUGGCCUAAGGAUUAUUCUGAGCUAGUAAUUUUGAGAAACAGAAGCUAUGAAAACAGCAUAAGCUACCCCUUUGAAAGAGAAAUUCACCCCGGCCACCACCCCGUCUGGGAAGUGAGGAGCGUCUCUGCCCAGCCGCCCCGUCUGAGAAGUGAGGAGCCCCUCCGCCCGGCAGCCGCCCCGUCUGGGAAGUGAGGAGCCCCUCUGCCCGGCCGCCAGGCCGUCUGGGAGGUGUGCCCAACAGCUCAUUGAGAACGGGCCAUGAUGACGAUGGCGGUUUUGUCGAGUAGAAAGUGGGGAAAUGUGGGGAAAGGAAGGAGAGAUCAGAUUGUUGCUGUGUCUGUGUGGAGAGAAGUAGACACAGGAGACUCCAUUUUGUUAUGUACUAAGAAAAAUUCUUCUGCCUUGGGAUGCUGUUAAUCUAUAACCUUACCCUCAGCCCCAUGCUCUCUGAAACAUGUGCUGUGUCCACUCAGGGUUAAAUGGAUUAAGGGCGGUGCAAGAUGUGCUUUGUUAAACAGAUGCUUGAAGGCAGCAUGCUCGUUAAGAGUCAUCACCACUCCCUAAUCUCAAGUACCCAGGGACACAAACACCGGAAGGCCGCAGGGUCCUCUGCCUAGGAAAACCAGAGACCCUUGUUCACAUGUUUAUCUGCUGACCUUCCCUCCACUAUUGUCCUAUGACCCUGCCAAAUCCCCCUCUCUGAGAAACACCCAAGAAUGAUCAAUAAAUACUAAAAAAAAAAAAAGAGAAACUCACAGUCUUAAAAGAAAUCGCUCUUUGUAAGGGUGUCUCCCUCUCUGUACCAGGAAGAGAAAGUUGACUCUAAAUCACCAGAGACCCUUAUCAAUGGAGAAGGCAGCAACUUGUUUUGUGUGCUUCUCCGGGUCUUUUUCCCAAAACUGGCCUUCCUCACUCCCUUCUUUGUUUUUAGCUGAAGAUGGUACUUAAACCUGAAUUCUAAGCCACUCCUUUGAGAAUUACUCAUUUUCUUGGGCAUCUCACAUGUAUAUGCAAAGUAUACAUGUUAAUAUAGCUCCAUUUGUUUUUCUCCUGUUAAUCUUUUGAGCUGGGCAUGGUGGCUCCCGCCUAUAAUCCCAACAUCUUGGGAGGCCAAGGCAAGAGGAUUGCUUGAACCCAGGAGCUGGAGAUCAGCCUGGGCAACAUGACAGGAGCCCAUCUCUACGAAAUAAAAAAUUAAAAAAUUAGGGCCAGGCGCAGUGGCUGACACUUGUAAUCCCAGCACUUUGGGAAGCCGAGGCAGGUGGAUCACAAGGUCAGGAGUUCAAGACCAGCGUGGCCAAGAUGGUGAAACCCCCGCCUCUACUAAAAAUACAAAAAUUAGCCAGGCAUGGUGGCAAGCGCCUGUAAUCCCAGCUACUCGGGUGGCUGAGGCAGGAGAAUUGCUUGAACCCGGGUGGCAGAGGUUGCAGUGAGCCGAGAUCAUGCCACUGCACUCCAGCCUGGGUGACAGAGCAAGACUCUGUCUCAAAAAUAAAUAAAUAAAUAGCCAGGUGUUGUGGCAAGCUCCUGUAGUCCCAGUUACUUGGGAGGCUGAGAUGGGAGGAUCACUUGAGCCUGGGGGUGUGGAGGUUGCAGUGAGCCAUGAUAGCACCACUGUGCUCUAGCCUGGGAGACACAGUGAGACCCUGUCUCAAAAAAAAAAAAUCUAUCUUUUGUUACAAGGACUCUAGCUGAGAAUUUAGAAGGGUAGCAAGAAAAUUCAUCUUUCCUCCCCUAAAUAUGCUACUGAUAGAGGCGGGAGACAGCCAAAUGCCAUCCAGGUCAUUAUGCACAGGGGGCUUGCCUAAACAUGCCUACAGUGAAAAAUUCUAUCCCUUAACACAUGUGCAGUAAGGGAAAUAAAUCAGUGUGGAGUGGCUCAGAUUAGAGGCCUACAUGUGCACUGGGGAAAUGGGGUGGAGCCACCAGGAAUUCAUGCUUUAUGCAGGGGAGCCGGGCUUCUUCAGCUCCAGUAUGGUGGCCUGAUAUUCAGUCUGUGGAGUAGGAGCCUGUUGGCAGGACCACCUCUUUGCUAAGGGCUUUCUUUUCACUUAAUACAUUCUGACCCUUCAAUGUGUCCAUGUGCCUAAUUUUUCCUGAUCGGGAGACAAGAGCCCAGAUUUUAGCUGAACUAAGAAGAAAAAUAUCGUGCGUCACUAGUUGGCCUGGAAGAACAAUGGAAUUACUCAUUUGAGAUGUGGGUUUGAAGAAAGUUAUUUUUAGUAUUCUGAUAAGCAGUUAAAAUACUGCUGUCAUGUUUCUCUCUUUGUGCCAGUCUCAUGCAGUUUCCCAGCAAAAUCACAAUUAAACUGAUAAUGUGAUUUUUAUGUUUUGGCAUCCUUUCAGAUUUUGUUUUUUUUGUUUUGUUUUUGAGACGGGGUCUGGGUGUGUCACCCAAGCUGGAAUGCAUUGGCAUAAUCACAGCUCAUUGCAGCCUCAACCUCUGGGGCUCAAGUGAUCUUCCCACCACCUCAGCCUCCUGAGUAGCUGGGACUAUCAGCGGACGCCACCAUGACUGGCUAAUUUUUAAACUUUUUGUAGAGACGGGUUUUGUGAUGUUGCUCAAGCUGGUCUUGAACUCCUGGGCUAAAGCAAUCCUCCUGUCUGAGCCUCCUGAAGUGCUGGGAUUACAGGCCACGAUGUCUGGCCUCUAAUUACUUUGAUAAUAAGUAAGCAUCUCCCCUUCUCUUUUUUUUCUGAGACAGAGUCUCACUCUAUUGCCCAGGCUGGAGUGCAAUGGCACAAACUUGGCUUUGCCUCCUGGGUUCAAGCAACCUCUGCCUCCCAGGUUCAAGCAAUUCUCCUGCCUCAGCCUCCCAAGUAGCUGGGAUCACAGGCGUGUGCUACCAUGCCCGGCUAAUUUUUUGUAUUUUUAGUAGAGAUGGCGUUUCACCAUGUUGGCCAGCCUGCUCUUGAACUCCUAACCUGCCUUCCAAAGUAUUGGGAUUACAGGUGUGAGCCACCACGCCUGGCUCUUUGUUGUUUGUUUUUGAGCUGGAGUCUCGCUGUGUCACCCAGGCUGGAGUACAGUGGCGCCAUCUCGGCUUACUGCAACCUCCACCUCCUGAGUUCAAGCGAUUCCCCUGCCUCAGCCUCCUGAGUAGCUGGGACCGCAGGCAUGCACUACCACACCCAGCUAAUUUUUGUAUUUUUAGUAGAGACGGGGUUUCACCAUGUUGGCCACGCUGGUCUUGGAACUCCUGACCUCAGGUGAUCCGCUCACCUCAGCCUCCCAAAGUGCUGGGAAUACAGGUGUGAGCCACCGCGCCUGGCCGCAUCCCCCACUUCUCUAGUGAAUUUUUUGGGGUUAUCACUGUGUUAAAAAGCUCUUCUCUUUGAGUCCCUUGGGAGAUCCCACUUUCUUCAGUAACACACCUUCUCUGGCCCUUCGUAGCUAUUUACUUUCCCAGUACUCUUUCAUCAUCUUGAAACCACCAUUGCAAAAUUAUAACUGAGACAGUGACAGAGAUCUGACCGAACCAACUCCAUCUUGCUUCUAACUUCCAAGCUGUCCUUGUUCAUUCCUGAGUGUAGGCUGAACUAACUUUGGGAGGAACUUAGUUUAUAGUUUAAAAGAAAGACAAUAAUAGCCCUUUCCCAAAACAAACCCCCAUCUUGCCUGGGGACCAGAAUGCCUUUGUAGGAGUAACAAAUUAGCCAAAAGAUUAGAAAUUAUGAUUUAGGAGUCAUGCAGCUAGAGGCUACAGGAUUCUGACCCUCCCCAAAUUGCUCCCGGGAAUAACAUCACUGAAGUCUAAGAUCAGUGCUUGAGAUAUUUUGCAGACCUCGCACUGGAUGGAUCAGCUGGCACCACCCAGAUCGAUAAACUGGCUCAUCAGAUCUUGUGGCCCCCACCCAGGAACUGACUCAAGCACAAGACAGCUUCAAUUCCCUAUGAUUUCAUCUCUGACCCGAUCAAUCAGCACUCCUGACUCACUGGAUGCCACCCACCCUCCAAAUUAUCCUUAAAAACUGUGACCUCCAAAUGCUUGGGGAGACUCAUUUGAGUAAUAAAAAAAGUCCCAGUUUCCCACACAGCUGGCUCUGCAUGAAUUAUUCUUUCUCUAUUGCAAUUCACCUGUCUUGAUAAAUUGGUUCUGCCUAGGCAGCAGGCAAGGUGAACCUGUUGGGCCAUUACAAUCUCAUAGCAGUGGCAGAAUGGACAGACCAGUGAACCCUGUGCUAGGACAACCUGCACCAGGCCCUGGCUGUUGUAGGAGGUCCUUUUUUUUUU
This 4919-nucleotide long non-coding RNA is filed under the name Homo sapiens (human). RNAcentral describes it as "non-protein coding SNHG15:17". The record is from RNAcentral. Lineage: Eukaryota; Metazoa; Chordata; Mammalia; Primates; Hominidae.